Molecule: ribosomal RNA, 433 nt
Filed under: uncultured bacterium
Lineage: Bacteria
Description: partial 16S ribosomal RNA
Rfam family: Bacterial small subunit ribosomal RNA
Source: RNAcentral
AACGAACGCUGGCGGCAGGCUUAACACAUGCAAGUCGAGCGAGACCUUCGGGUCUAGCGGCGGACGGGUGAGUAACGCGUGGGAACGUGCCCUUCUCUACGGAAUAGCCCCGGGAAACUGGGAGUAAUACCGUAUACGCCCUUUGGGGGAAAGAUUUAUCGGAGAAGGAUCGGCCCGCGUUGGAUUAGUUAGUUGGUGGGGUAAUGGCCCACCAAGCCGACGAUCCAUAGCUGUUUUGAGAGGAUGAUCAGCCACACUGGGACUGAGACACGGCCCAGACUCCUACGGGAGGCAGCAGUGGGGAAUCUUAGACAAUGGGGGCAACCCUGAUCUAGCCAUGCCGCGUGAGUGAUGAAGGCCUUAGGGUUGUAAAGCUCUUUCAGCUGGGAAGAUAAUGACGGUACCAGCAGAAGAAGCCCCGGCUAACUCCGUG